UAGAGUUUGAUCCUGGCUCAGAUUGAACGCUGGCGGCAUGCCUAACACAUGCAAGUCGAACGGUAACAGGUCUUCGGAUGCUGACGAGUGGCGGACGGGUGAGUAAUGCGUAGGAAUCUGUCUUUUAGUGGGGGACAACCCAGGGAAACUUGGGCUAAUACCGCAUGAGCCCUGAGGGGGAAAGCGGGGGAUCUUCGGACCUCGCGCUAAGGGAGGAGCCUACGUCUGAUUAGCUAGUUGGUAGGGUAAAGGCCUACCAAGGCGACGAUCAGUAGCUGGUCUGAGAGGACGACCAGCCACACUGGGACUGAGACACGGCCCAGACUCCUACGGGAGGCAGCAGUGGGGAAUUUUUCGCAAUUGGGGGCAAGCCCUGACGAAGCAAUGCCGCGUGGAUGAAGAAGGCCUUCGGGUUGUAAAGUCCUUUCGUGGAGGACGAAAAGGCGGGUUCUAAUACAAUCUGCCUGGUUGGACGUGAAUCCAAGAAGAAGCACCGGCUAACUCCGUGGCCAGCAGCCGCGGUAAUACG
RNAcentral lists this ribosomal RNA (529 nucleotides) under Acidithiobacillus ferrooxidans. RNAcentral describes it as "bacterial SSU rRNA". It matches the Rfam family "Bacterial small subunit ribosomal RNA", at positions 1 to 527 of the family's 1533-position model. Lineage: Bacteria; Pseudomonadati; Pseudomonadota; Acidithiobacillia; Acidithiobacillales; Acidithiobacillaceae. The record is from RNAcentral.